AUUAAAUAGCCGCAGUAUUUUGACUGUGCAAAGGUAGCAUGAUCAUUAGUUUCUUAAUUAGGAACUUGUAUGAAAGGUUGGAUGAGAAAUAUUCUGUCUCAAAUUUAAUUUUAUAGAAUUUUAUUUUUAAGUAAAAAAGCUUAAAUGAGUUUUAGGGACGAGAAGACCCUAUAGAGUUUUAUUUUAAAUUUAAUUUUUAAUGUUAAGGAAUUUAUGGUUUUAUAUUGAUUUAAAAUUUAAUUGGGGUGAUUAAAAAAUUAAAUUAACUUUUUUUUAAUUUAAACAUUAAUUUAUGAAUUAUUGAUCCAUUAUUUAUGAUUAAAAGAUUAAAUUACCUUAGGGAUAACAGCGUAAUUUUUUUAAAGAGUUCUUAUCGAUAAAAAAGUUUGCGACCUCGAUGUUGGAUUAAAAUUUAUUAUUGGCGUAGAUGUUAAUUAAUUAAGUCUGUUCGACUUUUAAAAUUUUACAUGAUCUGAGUUUAAACCGGUGUGAGCCAGGUUGGUUUCUAUCUUAAAUAAUAAAGUGUAUUUUAGUACGAAAGGACCAAAUACUAGUAAAAUUUACUUUUUAUUGAAUUAAA
Molecule: ribosomal RNA, 580 nt
Filed under: Arabhydrus sp. IBE-RA106
Lineage: Eukaryota; Metazoa; Arthropoda; Insecta; Coleoptera; Hydrophilidae
Description: partial large subunit ribosomal RNA
Rfam family: Bacterial large subunit ribosomal RNA
Source: RNAcentral